AUUGAACGCUGGCGGCAUGCUUUACACAUGCAAGUCGAACGGUAACAGGCCGCAAGGUGCUGACGAGUGGCGAACGGGUGAGUAAUGCAUCGGAACGUGCCCAGUCGUGGGGGAUAACUACUCGAAAGAGUAGCUAAUACCGCAUACGUUCUAUGGAUGAAAGCGGGGGACCGUAAGGCCUCGCGCGAUUGGAGCGGCCGAUGUCAGAUUAGGUAGUUGGUGGGGUAAAGGCUCACCAAGCCAACGAUCUGUAGCUGGUCUGAGAGGACGACCAGCCACACUGGGACUGAGACACGGCCCAGACUCCUACGGGAGGCAGCAGUGGGGAAUUUUGGACAAUGGGCGCAAGCCUGAUCCAGCAAUGCCGCGUGCAGGAAGAAGGCCUUCGGGUUGUAAACUGCUUUUGUACGGAACGAAACGGCUCUGGUUAAUACCCGGGGCUAAUGACGGUACCGUAAGAAUAAGCACCGGCUAACUACGUG
This 482-nucleotide ribosomal RNA is filed under the name uncultured bacterium. RNAcentral describes it as "partial 16S ribosomal RNA". It matches the Rfam family "Bacterial small subunit ribosomal RNA", at positions 30 to 507 of the family's 1533-position model. The record is from RNAcentral.